Macaca mulatta (Rhesus monkey) is the source of this 1334-nucleotide non-coding RNA. The record is from RefSeq and is a predicted model, not a curated record. NCBI's taxonomy places the organism in Eukaryota, Metazoa, Chordata, Mammalia, Primates, Cercopithecidae.
AAGUGUCUGAGCCAAUGAGUAGAGAUACUCACUCUCCAGGCUCACCUGGGGAGAGACUGAGGGACUAAAUGCACACAGCUCUGCAAGCAUCAAACAUCGGUUAACUUAAGCACCCCCAGCACUUGAAACUUAGGGGGAGAAGAUUAAGGUAGUCUGAGAUGUGCUUAUUACCAAGCAAGAAGAGUUCACGCCAAGAUUUUUCUUGAGUACUUAAUCUGGGUGAGGCCCAAGUCAGGCAAGAGAAGAAUUAUCACAAACUGAGUGGGAAACUGUCCAGGUGGCGAAGCUUUGUGAGCAAUGGUGUGAUGCCUGGGCAAAGACAGAGCGGGGGCAGAGAGAAAGGAAAUAGAAUCGAGUCAGGAGAUCUGUUCCCUGGUGUGCAUGCCAUUAUUAGUCAAUUUUGUCAGCUGGUUUCUGGGUAAUUGAUGGCACAGGCUCAGAGUUGACUGACUUGUACCGAGGGGGGACUCCCAGGGGAAUCUGGGUCUGGAUUGAGCCGCAGUGAAUUUGACAUGUAGUAAAGUAUUAGGAACUGCAGGUGCUCCAGAUGACCUCAUAAAGGGUUCAUUUUGAGAUUGUGAAGUUUGCUGUUAGAACAGAGCUGUGAUGUGUAAGAAGAAACUUAGACUUGUCUAGAAAGGGCUAUUUCUCCCCAAGGUGGGUUCAGGACCUUUGCUUGAGGGAAGGUCCAGUGUCACUAUCUGUCCCCCAUGGGACUUUAGACAGAGAUGGGGUCUCACUCUGUUGCCCAGGCUGCUCUCAAACUCCUGAUCUCAAACGACGCUUCUGCCUCAGCCUCCCAAAGUGCUGGGACUGAAGAAGCAAGAUGCCUUGCUGUGGAGAAGACCACACAGCAGAGAAUGAUAGGCAGCCGCUAGGAGCUUAGAGCAGCUCCAGCUGACAACCAGCAAGAAAGCAGGAACCUCAGUCCUAUACCCAUCAGGAACGCUGGCUGCCAUUGCAGGGGGGGCAGGUCAUCUCUGGAACCAGCCACUAGUGGGCUUGGACGAAGACUUCAGUGAGAUGAGAUGAGACGAGACGAGACGAGACGAGACGAGAUCACAGCCCAGCUGACACCUUGGUGGUGUCUCAGCCUUGAGAGACUCUGAGCAAGGGACCCAGCUGAGCCAUGCUGGACUCCUUGACCCAUGAAAACCAUGAGAUAAUAAGUGGGUCCUAUUUUAAGCCACCAGGUUUGUGAGGAUUUGUUACAUAGCGAUAGAAAACUAACACAGGACCUGUACUGCCUACUUUGCAGAGUUGUUUGAAGAUUAGGAAAAAUGUAAAGUACCUGGCAUGAAGAAGACUACAAUAAAUGGUAGCUUUAAGUCACG